GACGAACGCUGGCGGCGUGCCUAACACAUGCAAGUCGAACGAGGUCCAUGCAGUGGCAACACUGCGGAAGACCUAGUGGCGAACGGGUGAGUAACACGUGAGGAACCUGCCCCCGAAGACCGGGAUAACCCUCCGAAAGGAGAGCUAAUACCGGAUACCCCCACCGGAUCGCAUGAUCUGGUGAGGAAAUGGAUUCCGCUUCGGGAGGCCUCGCGGCCUUAUCAGCUAGUUGGUGGGGUAACGCCACCAAGGCAUCGACGGGUAAGCUGGUCUGAGAGGACGAUCGGCCACACUGGGACUGAGA
RNAcentral lists this ribosomal RNA (304 nucleotides) under uncultured bacterium. RNAcentral's name for it is "bacterial SSU rRNA". It matches the Rfam family "Bacterial small subunit ribosomal RNA", at positions 28 to 324 of the family's 1533-position model. The record is from RNAcentral.